UGUGGCAUUAUCGAUUUUUCCAUCAUAGGCGAAAAAGAUGACCGUGCCUUAGUUCAAAAUUGCAGAUAACCUAUAUAAUUAAUAUGUAUUCUUGAAAUGGAUGGAUGGGUGUGAGCUCUAGAUUAACUAUGUUAAUUGCAGAUUGCCAGCUACAGGCUGGACUAUGACAUUGUGGGUAGUCUCACCACUGAUAGGGACAUGGUACUAUCGAUUGCCU
Molecule: long non-coding RNA, 217 nt
Filed under: Phoenix dactylifera (date palm)
Lineage: Eukaryota; Viridiplantae; Streptophyta; Magnoliopsida; Arecales; Arecaceae
Description: long non-coding RNA (PDAC_LNC001066)
Source: RNAcentral